UAUACAGCGAAACUGCGAAUGGCUCAUUAUAUAAGUUAUCGUUUAUUUGAUAGUGCCUUACUACUUGGAUAACCGUGGUAAUUCUAGAGCUAAUACAUGCUAAAAACCCCGACUUCGGAAGGGGUGUAUUUAUUAGAUACAAAACCAAUGCCCUUCGGGGCUCUUUGGUGAUUCAUGAUAACUAUACGAAUCGCACGGCCUUGCGCCGGCGAUGGUUCAUUCAAAUUUCUUCCCUAUCAGCUUUCGAUGUUUGGGUAUUGGCCAAACAUGGUUGCAACGGGUAACGGAGGGUUAGGGCUCGACCCCGGAGAAGGAGCCUGAGAAACGGCUACUACAUCCAAGGAAGGCAGCAGGCGCGCAAAUUACCCAAUCCCGACUCGGGGAGGUAGUGACAAUAAAUACUGAUACAGGGCCCUUUCGGGCCUUGUAAUUGGAAUGAGUACAAUUUAAAUCCCUUAACGAGGAACAAUUGGAGGGCAAGUCUGGUGCCAGCAGCCGCGGUAAUUCCAGCUCCAAUAGCGUAUAU
Molecule: ribosomal RNA, 526 nt
Filed under: uncultured eukaryote
Lineage: Eukaryota
Description: SSU rRNA
Rfam family: Eukaryotic small subunit ribosomal RNA
Source: RNAcentral